AAAGUUUCAGUUCCUUUUUCAGCCUGUAUUUCCUCCAAGUAGACUGAAUUAAUCGAGCAGCUCGAGUUUCUUGCCGAAGAUCUAGAAGCCUCGAACACAGAAAUGAUAGCCAGGAUCAAGAGACACCUAAGAAAUUUUACGCUCACAGAAUACUUUCCUGUCCAGUCCACCUACACUUAUGCUAAUGGAAGAACAGAAAUAAUCUGUUAUGUUGCAGGGGCUGCAUGAAGAUUCAGCAAAUGGAGUGCUUCCUUCAGUUAGCGACACACAUUCUUCCUGUAUUCCAAAGCAUAUUUGGGAGUGGAACAUUUUGAAACCCAAAGUAUGUUGAAAUUCAAGAAGUCAACUUGUUUUGAUCUUCAAGCAACAAAGUAUUGGCAAACCGUAAAGACAGAAAGAUCUGCACGAGGCUGAUACCAGACUAAUUACAAACAGAAAAAAAAAAACAAAAAAAAAACACAACAGGCAGCAUGAACAACAUAUUUGAAAAUACAUGACAACAGCAAUGAAUUAAAAUAUGCACAAUGCUAAGUGUACACAUGACAGAAAUCUUGUAAAGUGAGCAAGUUUCCUGUAUAUUUGAAUUACCCUGCCCAGGAACUGCCAAAUACUUUUCCUGUUGCUGUCAUUGCCAAGGUUUACAAAAGAAUCGAGUAAAUUUUAAGCCAAUUACAUAACCAAAACUCUGACCUAGUUUUCAACCUUGUAAAAUGCAGAUAAUAUCUAAAAAAGAAAAUGCAAAAACCCAUAUUUUGGUGAGAUGAAAUAUCCUUGACUGUUGCUAGACAGUUCAGUUUGCUAUACAAAUUUCAUAAUCAAAGGUAUUUUCCAAACAGGGUGAA
This is a long non-coding RNA of Cygnus olor (mute swan), 842 nucleotides long. RefSeq lists it as uncharacterized. The transcript is spliced from 3 exons. The record is from RefSeq and is a predicted model, not a curated record. Lineage: Eukaryota; Metazoa; Chordata; Aves; Anseriformes; Anatidae.